This 450-nucleotide ribosomal RNA is filed under the name uncultured bacterium. RNAcentral's name for it is "partial 16S ribosomal RNA". It matches the Rfam family "Bacterial small subunit ribosomal RNA", at positions 354 to 796 of the family's 1533-position model. The record is from RNAcentral.
GUGGGGAAUUUUGGACAAUGGGCGCAAGCCUGAUCCAGCAAUGCCGCGUGCAGGAAGAAGGCCUUCGGGUUGUAAACUGCUUUUGUACGGAACGAAACGGCUCUGGUUAAUACCUGGGGCUAAUGACGGUACCGUAAGAAUAAGCACCGGCUAACUACGUGCCAGCAGCCGCGGUAAUACGUAGGGUGCAAGCGUUAAUCGGAAUUACUGGGCGUAAAGCGUGCGAAGGCGGUUUUGUAAGACAGGCGUGAAAUCCCCGGGCUCAACCUGGGAAUGGCGCUUGUGACUGCAAGGCUGGAGUGCGGCAGAGGGGGAUGGAAUUCCGCGUGUAGCAGUGAAAUGCGUAGAUAUGCGGAGGAACACCGAUGGCGAAGGCAAUCCCCUGGGCCUGCACUGACGCUCAUGCACGAAAGCGUGGGGAGCAAACAGGAUUAGAUACCCCGGUAGUCC